AGCGGUUAAACAAAAGAAUUUAUUUUUUAGGCUAAAAAUUUAAAAUAAAAGUAAAUAAUAUUUUUUUUUUUCAAAAAGGUGAAAUUUUUGAAAAAGAUUAUUAAAAGUUUAAAUAAAAAUUUCCUAAAAUAAACUAGGAUUAGAUACCCUAUUAUUAGAAAUAAUAUAUUGUUAGUAUAUAAAACUUACGAAAACAAAAAAUUAUGGCGGUAUCUUAAGCUUUUCAGAGGAAUUUGCUCUUUAAUGGAUAAAACACCCAAAUCUUACUAAAGUUGGUAAAGACAGCUUGUAUACCACUAUUAAAGCAAUUAUUAAUUAUAAUUGCUGUAAAUUUUAUACAAAAAAUAAGUUAAGUCAAGGUGCAGCUUAAACUUUAGGAUGAAGUGAAUUACAAUUCUCUUUAGACAAUUAUUUUUUUCUUAAAAAUAAAAAAAUUAGGAUUUGAAAGUAAAAAUUUUAAUAGAAUGAUUAUUUGAAUUAAGCUCUGAGAUAUGUACAUAUCGCCCGUCA
RNAcentral lists this ribosomal RNA (510 nucleotides) under Amblyomma mixtum. RNAcentral describes it as "partial small subunit ribosomal RNA". The record is from RNAcentral. Lineage: Eukaryota; Metazoa; Arthropoda; Arachnida; Ixodida; Ixodidae.